CGUAGGUGGCAAGCGUUGUCCGGAUUUAUUGGGUUUAAAGGGUGCGUAGGCGGCCUUAUAAGUCAGUGCUGAAAUACUCUAGCUUAACUAGAGGGGUGGCAUUGAUACUGCAGGGCUUGAGUAUAGUCGAGGUAGGCGGAAUUGACGGUGUAGCGGUGAAAUGCUUAGAUAUCGUCAAGAACACCGAUAGUGUAGACAGCUUACUAGGCUAUAACUGACGCUGAGGCACGAAAGUGUGGGGAUCAAACAGGAUUAGAUACCCUGGUAGUCCACACUGUAAACGUUGAUUACUCGCUGUUGGCGAUACACAGUCAGCGGCUUAGCGCAAGCGAUAAGUAAUCCACCUGGGGAGUACGCCGGCAACGGUG
This 368-nucleotide ribosomal RNA is filed under the name uncultured organism. RNAcentral's name for it is "bacterial SSU rRNA". It matches the Rfam family "Bacterial small subunit ribosomal RNA", at positions 526 to 896 of the family's 1533-position model. The record is from RNAcentral.